UACGUAGGGGGCAGGCGUUGUCCGGAUUUAUUGGGCGUAAAGAGCGUGUAGGCGGUUCGGUAGGUCCGUUGUGAAAACUCGAGGCUCAACCUCGAGACGCCGAUGGAAACCCCCGAACUAGAGUCCGGAAGAGGAGAAUGGAAUUCCUGGUGUAGCGGUGAAAUGCGCAGAUAUCAGGAAGAACACCCGUGGCUAAGGCGGUUCUCUAGUACGGUACUGACGCUGAGACGCGAAAGCGUGGGGAGCGAACAGG
This 253-nucleotide ribosomal RNA is filed under the name uncultured bacterium. Its description in RNAcentral is "partial 16S ribosomal RNA". It matches the Rfam family "Bacterial small subunit ribosomal RNA", at positions 524 to 776 of the family's 1533-position model. The record is from RNAcentral.